AGUCCAGUAGUGCGAGGCACAUCGAACUGCAAAUUCGAAGACGUCACCUUUAUUUCGUGGCCCGGACU
RNAcentral lists this transfer RNA (68 nucleotides) under Woodworthia maculata (Raukawa gecko). Its description in RNAcentral is "tRNA-Cys". The record is from RNAcentral. Lineage: Eukaryota; Metazoa; Chordata; Lepidosauria; Squamata; Diplodactylidae.